GAGGGUAUAGUUCAAGUGGUAGAGCACAUGCUUAGCAUGCACAAGGUCCUGGGUUCAAUCCCCAGUACUGCCU
RNAcentral lists this transfer RNA (73 nucleotides) under Camelus bactrianus (Bactrian camel). It matches the Rfam family "tRNA". From Rfam's summary of the family: Transfer RNA (tRNA) molecules are approximately 80 nucleotides in length. Their secondary structure includes four short double-helical elements and three loops (D, anti-codon, and T loops). Further hydrogen bonds mediate the characteristic L-shaped molecular structure. tRNAs have two regions of fundamental functional importance: the anti-codon, which is responsible for specific mRNA codon recognition, and the 3' end, to which the tRNAs corresponding amino acid is attached (by aminoacyl-tRNA synthetases). tRNAs cope with the degeneracy of the genetic code in two manners: having more than one tRNA (with a specific anti-codon) for a particular amino acid; and 'wobble' base-pairing, i.e. permitting non-standard base-pairing at the 3rd anti-codon position. The record is from Rfam by way of RNAcentral. RNAcentral also lists the same sequence under 3 other names. Lineage: Eukaryota; Metazoa; Chordata; Mammalia; Artiodactyla; Camelidae.